RNAcentral lists this ribosomal RNA (578 nucleotides) under Staphylococcus aureus. Its description in RNAcentral is "partial 23S ribosomal RNA". It matches the Rfam family "Bacterial large subunit ribosomal RNA", at positions 1603 to 2182 of the family's 2925-position model. Lineage: Bacteria; Bacillati; Bacillota; Bacilli; Caryophanales; Staphylococcaceae. The record is from RNAcentral.
CACUGCCGAGAAAAGCCUCUAGAUAGAAAAUAGGUGCCCGUACCGCAAACCGACACAGGUAGUCAAGAUGAGAAUUCUAAGGUGAGCGAGCGAACUCUCGUUAAGGAACUCGGCAAAAUGACCCCGUAACUUCGGGAGAAGGGGUGCUCUUUAGGGUUAACGCCCAGAAGAGCCGCAGUGAAUAGGCCCAAGCGACUGUUUAUCAAAAACACAGGUCUCUGCUAAACCGUAAGGUGAUGUAUAGGGGCUGACGCCUGCCCGGUGCUGGAAGGUUAAGAGGAGUGGUUAGCUUCUGCGAAGCUACGAAUCGAAGCCCCAGUAAACGGCGGCCGUAACUAUAACGGUCCUAAGGUAGCGAAAUUCCUUGUCGGGUAAGUUCCGACCCGCACGAAAGGCGUAACGAUUUGGGCACUGUCUCAACGAGAGACUCGGUGAAAUCAUAGUACCUGUGAAGAUGCAGGUUACCCGCGACAGGACGGAAAGACCCCGUGGAGCUUUACUGUAGCCUGAUAUUGAAAUUCGGCACAGCUUGUACAGGAUAGGUAGGAGCCUUUGAAACGUGAGCGCUAGCUUACGUG